CGACGCCGCACCCGGCAGGCGGUGGCUCUGCGCGGCACCCCCGCGGAGCGGCUCCCGGUCUCCGGCGCUGCCGCGGUGCGGCCACCCUGCGGGUGGGCGCGGGACACCCCCGGAGGGAACGGCAGCGGUCCCGGCGCCCCCCCGCCCGCCGCGCCGUGGUUCGGUCCCGUUUGAAGGUGCGGCGGGCUGGGGCCGGCCCGCGCUGCGGGGGGUAACGAUGGCUGCCGAGGGGAGAGCUGCCGCCCCGGGCCCCGCCAUGGCCGAGCCCCAGCCCGGCGCCGGGCAGCCCCCGUGGGAGGACGGCGGGCCCCGCGGCGAGGAGCUGCCGGCCCCCGGGCCGUCCUCCGGUACGGGGAAGCGGGGGCUCGGGGCGGGGGAAGCGACGGGGCCGUGGUACCUGUAGGCCUCGGGGCGUUCCCUCAGCCCUGCCGCCGCUCUUCAGGUGUGCUUCCAUAUGAACGUGUGACUAUGAAAUCCACAGGGAAUGAAGCAGCGGCGCUUUCCAGCCGUGCAGCGGCCUGGCCGCCGCUCCCGGCCGUCACUAGGUGUCAGCCGCGCUCCGCGGGAGCCCCGGGCCCGCGUGGGACCGGCCCAGGGGCCUGGGGCCGGCCCUGGGACCCCUUGCGCUUGCAGAAAGCGAGGCAUCUCGCCUAUAAACAAAUCUGCACGUUUUCACCUUGUCACUUACCAAACAAGCUGUGGGAAAUAACCGAUGACAUUUCCAAACUGGCCAUUGUCCAUGAAAUUACACUCAACAGGGACCUCAAGCUGCAAGAGGCCAGCUUUUCCCCAGACAGGCUUGGCUUCUCUCUGUCACAUUACAGAAAACAUGAGAAUGUGGAAAGAAGGUGGGUUUGGAUCUGACUGCAGAAGAAACAAGAAAAUAAGAUAGCUUCUGAAAUAAAUAAAAAAAAUUGGAGCUUGUUUUA
Long non-coding RNA from Falco peregrinus (peregrine falcon), 929 nucleotides. RefSeq lists it as uncharacterized. The record is from RefSeq and is a predicted model, not a curated record. Lineage: Eukaryota; Metazoa; Chordata; Aves; Falconiformes; Falconidae. The transcript is spliced from 3 exons.